Long non-coding RNA from Carya illinoinensis, 3501 nucleotides. RefSeq lists it as uncharacterized. The transcript has 4 exons. The record is from RefSeq and is a predicted model, not a curated record. Lineage: Eukaryota; Viridiplantae; Streptophyta; Magnoliopsida; Fagales; Juglandaceae.
UGCCACCAAACCUCUCCCGUCGCUAUCCCUGCACCCAGCACCAUCACAGAACCAUCCUUGCUCUUUCACGGCACCCUACACGUCGGAAACACCACAAGGCAGCAACCCAUGAGUUGCAUGCUCUUCCGCACGCAUCACUGCCCUGCACCACCGUUUGCUAGCCACUGCCUAGUUACACUAGAGCUAACAACCGGAAACCACUCAGCCAUCCCGUGUUUCGACCAUCUCCUGCAACCACGAGAACUAGUAACUCAAGUCCAGCUCAGCCACAUGAAACCGAAACCACCCCUGUUUUUGAUUCCCGAAAACAGAGCAAGGGAAGCUCUCCCCAUACUCUCGGUUUCCAGCCUUGCUACACUCCGGAAACUACCCAAAAAACCCACAGAAAUCGCCGUCCGUUUCCCCCUCGGGUCCGACAUUAGGCAGGCCGCGCCACCCAGUGCCGCCCUCUUCUCCACCACUUCGCAGCGGUCUCACGGUGACGUUUGAUUUUUGUUCAAUAUUAUUAUGGAGGAAUUCUGAUAAGUUAAGAAAUCCAGGUAAGCGAGAUUCCUAUACUAGACUUUGUAUAAAAGAAAUGAAUUGAGAUUAAUUUUGGAAAAGUUUGCAUGUUUUGUUAUGAAAAUAAUUUUGAAACACCUUAGCUAUUUGUUUGGCAUUACUCAUGAAAUCUUGUAUAAGAAUAAGGCAUUUUCUGGCAUGACUGGUAUAGACAUGAGCUAUUUUGAUAUUUUAUUUCUAGACUGUGCAAAAGAGAGCGAAUAUGAAAUUUUGUGCAUAAAUCAUAUUUUUGUAAUCUGAUUCUGUUAUACUUUGAAAAUAUUUUGUAUUGUGAUAUGAUAUGAUGUGAUUUCUAAAAACCUCUGGCAUGAUAUUCUGCUUCUAUUUCUAUUCUGUUCUGACCUUACCACGUGUGUAAAAACUGUGACCUCUGUUCGGAUUGGUACCAACUUUUCUGUUUCUGGUGCACCCACUUUGGAAGCAAAGUGGUUUUUUGCAUGUUCUUUCCUGUGUGCACACUCAGGGCUCCAAGAAUAAUAAGGAGAAGAUUCAUAUUCUGUUUCUGCUCGGUUGGUCAUCGGGGUUUGCACAACCCUACCACGAGGUUUAAACAUAGAAUUCUAUUCUGAUGUAAUGUUUCAGUUAUGCUAUGCCAAAGGAACUCUGAAUAAGAAUAUUUUUCUGAAACUUUCGCUCUAAUAUUUUUGAUAACAUGUUCUGAUUCUGCAUUCUGAAAGUAAAACCAUUUUGUUCUGCAUCUUGAACUCUGUAAAUGCUCAUGUUUGCACACUAGUAUAUGUUCUCUACUUCCUGAAUUGUUGAUAACUCACCCUUUAUCUCAAAAUAUUUUUCAGAUUGUUUUGAUAGUUUAGCUAAAGAAUAAGAGUAAGAAGUUUUAGUAAGGUGUGAUGAUAGUAGUAGAAUAAGUGCUUAUUUGAGAGUUGUAGUUAGUAAAUUGAUUUAUUUUUGGAUAUGUUGAUUUGAUGAGUUAAGGAUAUUUUCGAGUCUUUGGGAGUUUUUAAUUUAUGUUAUUGAGAAUUUCUUUGUUGUCCCUAUGAAGGAACAUGGAUAUUUGGUUUGAGUGAAGAAAUAAAUAUUUUAUGAAGUUUUCUAGAUUUUAUAGUUGUGACAUUUAAGUGGAUAUUAAGUAAUAAGAGCUAACUCUUCAGACCUUCGGGAACGGGAUGUACAAGGCAGGUGCCCGGUAUGUGUUAAAACAGAAAAUAGAAAACAAAAAAUAGAAAAUAGAAAAAUUGAGAUGAACAAGUGAUGUGGAGAAACUCUUUUCUCAUAUAUGAUUUAUGUUACAUGGAACUUGAUAUAUAUAUAUACACUGCUACAAGAACAGAAAGACAAAAAGAAAACUUCUAAAAUACAUCUUUUUACUCUGCUACUAAAUUACAGAUUGUCAAUCUCAGCUUUUUGGACAGCAUGGUGUAUGCAGUGCUUUGUGCAUCGAGGUCCUGGCUUUUUCUGUGCAGUCAUGUAUUCUUUCAAUUGAUGUUUUGUGUUUAUGUGCCAAUACUUUCUCCUUUCUGCUGUUUUCUUCUUUUUGUAUUUUGCAGCACACUUUUAUUUACUUUUUCAGCUGCAUGCUUUCCUUGAGUGUUGCAGAUUGUUGCAGGUCUAUUUUGGUUGCUACAUGUACUACUUUGUGAGUUGUAGUCUUGAUGUUUAGUGUCCUCAUGUCCUUCUUGCUUGUUCUUGAUUUCUUUGCUUUUUACUUCAUGAUAGUAUGAGUACCUCAUCCCAAUGACUAAUAAAUGUCAUAUAAUAAAUUUAUAAAAGUGUUCGUAAAAAAAUUAAGGAAAAUGCAAGUAAUAUAUUUUUUUCCUAACUUAUAUCUAGGGACAACAUGAUACACUGAGUAGAUCGAUAAUUUUAAUAUAAAUUUCUCAAAUGAAAAUAUAAUUGAUAUAAACUUAAAUUGAUUUGUUUCUGUUUGUAGAUAAAGUCAUAAGAUGUAAUACAAGUAAUAAAAAGAUACCAUGGUUUAUUAAAAAUAUAAGAAAUUUCUUCAUUUAAAGGGGAAUUUUAUGGACAAAACACAGAAAUAGCAGAGUCCAAUACAUAUUCCCAAAAGCCCUAUCCAUUCUUGAUCUCUUUAGUAAACAAAUUAUCUUCUCUGUAUGUGAAAUUUGAUCUUUGAAAACUAAGAUCAUUUAAAAUUUUAAACCACGUAAACUCUUCUACAGCUUCUCGAAUUCUUUCGAUUUGGCUAUAAGAUCUGAAAUUUGACCCAAACACAUCCAAACUUUAUCCGUUCGUUGCUCUCAAUUAUAGAGUCCAACUCUCUCUUCUUCUAGCAGAAGUGGGAUUCCCAUAAAAUCCACUUAGAACAAAUUCCUCUCCAGCUUCCAUAUAAUUAACAGUAAGAGAUCAAAAUUUUUUGUAGUGGAUAGAGCUGUGAUAGAUGGAGAUGUCGAAAUGUUGGCGUACAUCUUACCCCAUUGGGUUCAGAUUCGAUCCCGAUGACGAAGUGUUGGUGUCUUUUUAUCUAUGGCGGAAAGUACAGGGGCUGGAUCUACCGAAUGGUCCCAUCGUUGAAGCCGAAGUCUAUGCUCAUGAACCGUGGUUUCUUCACUCUUGGUGCAUGUAGAUGGUAAUGAUCUUGCAUACAUGGCCGUGAACAAUGAUCGAUAAUUUUUUGUGAAGAGAGAGCCAGUAUCUAGAAACGGUAACGGGAAGAGAAUCAAAAGGGAUCUGGAAGGGGAUUCUGAUGGAGGUUGGUGGAAAGCCAACACCAGAGACAUGGAAAUUAAAGACUCGGAGGGUCACCUCGCACUACAACAAAUAUGGCUUUUAGUGACAGAUUAUAAAUAGUGACGGUUUCCAAACUGUGACAGUUUGUGAGAACUGUCACUAAAUGUUAGGCAAGAAUUUUAAAACAUUCGGACGUUUGACAUAAUACGUUCACACAUCACAAUAACGUUCGAAUGUUAUGUAUAUUGACGUGCAAACGUAAAAUUUUUAGCGCGAACAUUCGAACGUUUUAUCUAA